RNAcentral lists this ribosomal RNA (465 nucleotides) under uncultured bacterium. RNAcentral describes it as "bacterial SSU rRNA". It matches the Rfam family "Bacterial small subunit ribosomal RNA", at positions 338 to 795 of the family's 1533-position model. The record is from RNAcentral.
CCUACGGGUCGCACCAGUGGGGAAUAUUGCACAAUGGGCGUAAGCCUGAUGCAGCCAUGCCGCGUGUGUGAAGAAGGCCUUCGGGUUGCAAAGCACUUCCAGCGGGGAGGAAGGCGUUAAGGUUAAUAACCUUGGCGAUUGACGUUACCCGCAGAAGAAGCACCGGCUAACUCCGUGCCAGCAGCCGCGGUAAUACGGAGGGUGCAAGCGUUAAUCGGAAUUACUGGGCGUAAAGCGUACGCAGGCGGUCUGUCAAGUCGGAUGUGAAAUCCCCGGGCUCAACCUGGGAACUGCAUUCGAAACUGGCAGGCUAGAGUCUUGUAGAGGGGGGUAGAAUUCCAGGUGUAGCGGUGAAAUGCGUAGAGAUCUGGAGGAAUACCGGUGGCGAAGGCGGCCCCCUGGAUAAAGACUGACGCUCAGGUGCGAAAGCGUGGGGAGCAAACAGGAUUAGAUACCCGUGUAGUC